Molecule: long non-coding RNA, 3225 nt
Filed under: Zostera marina
Lineage: Eukaryota; Viridiplantae; Streptophyta; Magnoliopsida; Alismatales; Zosteraceae
Description: long non-coding RNA (ZMAR_LNC000599)
Source: RNAcentral
CUAAAUCAUUUACAACGAAACUACUGAAAUAGUGAAAUCAGUUUGCAACCGGGAAAAACUACAGAAGAACUACUGAAAUCGACGAAGGAUUUCCGCUGCUGCUUGCCUGCUUCCGCUGCUACUGAAAUCGACGAAAGAAAUCGUGUUUCCUGGCCGCUGCUUCCAAGGUAGAAAUCGCGUUUCUACUUUCUAGAUGGGUAUACCUAACGUGUAGUACUGUAUUUUGCAUAAGAAAAAUAAAUGUCGCAUAUUGGACCGCAUAUGCGACCAGGCGGUCGCAUAUGCAGUAUGCGGUCCCAGGCAUCGCCUGGUCGCCUGGCCGCGUUAAAAAGCUUGAUUUUAGGUACCCCCUCUAUCCCAUACAACAAAUAACAUGUCCUCCAUAGUUGACUUUCUAGAUUUAAAUCUAGAUCUAUAUAUCAUACACAAUACGCACAUCCACAACUAUACGUCGUGCCAACUCUGAUAUCAGUAAAGAUCUGCUCUCAUGCUUCCUCCGGUUACGCUCACCCCAAAUUGCCCAUGUGCUUGACCCAAAAAUAGUCCAACACAUGCCCCAUGCAGAUGAUCGUCGUGUUCUCGUGUCUGCCCAGUCCAUAUAUGAUCCGAUCCCUACAUCUGUCAGUGUCAAGAAGUCCCCUAUAUACCUACGGAUCUGUCUCCAUAUAUCUUUGGAAUAACUACAUCCGAAAUAUAUAUGGUCGAAGCUCUCUGGCUCUAUCGUUCACAACCAUCACUGCUUAGGUUGAGGGUACCCCCACCCAAUCAGCUUGUCCUGCAUCGUGAUUUUUCGAAGGCUGGCUCUCUACAUCGUCAUAGCAUACUUAUUGACGUUUGGUGCCCAUAUCCCUACUGCUUUGCCUUCCCUUGGUCUCCUCUCUCUGAUCGUGUCCCACACGUUCUGAAAUGUGAAGCUUGUGCCACUCCAUGUCCAUGUGCAUAUGUAAUCCUCUCCACAAGUCAUGCCCCUACUUAUCUUCUGCCUCUUAUCCAUAAGCUCUAACCAUGCCGGUGAGUCAACUCCACUACGUCUCUGGAUGUCUGCAAGUGCCCUUCCUCUGACAUACCUCUCGCGCAUCCAUCUGACCCAAAUAGAAUCCUCUGCAUUCCAGAUCCUCCACACUCUCUUCAUUACUGAUGCCAUAAUUGUAUCCUCGAAUCGUCUGAAACCAAUUCCACCCUCAACCUUUGGUAACGUCAUUUGGUCCCAACUGACCUCUUUCUUCCUAUCCCAUAAGAAUCUGUAUGUCAGGCUCUGCAACUGAUGAAAUAAUUUUGAGCAUGCAGAUAUAUUUUGUCCAUGUUCUUGAUGAACUCGAACGGUUGGAUAGUCGUUGGCAGUGACUGUCAAAAAAAGAAAUCGUAAUAAUCUUGGAAAUCCCAAAUAAAAUUACGAAAUAGAAAUCAGAGAUAGUGAUCAAACCAAGUACGGAGAUUUUCCAAGAACAUUCAAUCGAGAGAGAGAGUUCUGGUCCAUUCCGGAGUGGUUGUUGGGUUUUGGGUAGAGCUGGGAGUGUGUUUGAGGGACCGUGAGGGAGUGUGGGUGGGGUUGGGGAUUGACAUGAAUGGGGUUGAUGGUGGGAGUGACAAUAAUUGAAACAAUAGCUUUCAUUGUAUUCAUUCUAAUAACAUGACUAUAGGUGUUUAUGAAUAUUACUCUUUCUUCUUGAUCGAUUAUAGUAUUUGGCUACUAAUCUGGCUUUAUAUCUUUCCACAGAUCCAUCUGAUUUUUUCUUAAUUUUAAACACCCAUCUACACCCUACUAAUCUACUAUAUUCAUUGUAGAGUCUUUAGGAACAAGAGUCCAUGUACUAUUCACUUUUAGAGCCUCUAGUUCUUGAUGCAUAGCAGUUCUCCAUUUAGGUUCCUUAUAUUUCUAAGGUUGUAUAUCUCUAGAAAAGUUGGGGGGAAUGGUAGAAAGUAUUAGAGAUAGAAGUCAUAAAGACGUGCUAGCCAAGGGAAUUUGAUCGAAGAUACCAACAAAAUUCUUUAUUCUCCCGUGAAGGGUGAAAUGGAAUCACCUAAACACGUUCAGGAAAUUGAGAAGUUGGAAAGUGCAAGUAUCUCCUGCUUGCCUAUUUCAACUACUCUUAUUUCAGGUUUCUUCUAAUUCCGUUGACUGAACACCUGAAUUUCACCUCCUGGAGAAUAAUGAAUAUUCUAGUUUCCACCCAAUCUAGUCUGGAUAUUAGGUUGGGGGAUCUUACAAAGGCUACGUAAAAAUUCACACACUACUCCCCCCUUGGGGACUACUAUGGAAUGUCAUUGGGUGUUUAUCGUGACAUAUAUGGACAAAAAAAAAGAUACAAACAAAACAUUAGUAGCUAGGCCUCCUGAGGUAGUCCAUAAGGAGAUCAUUAAGGACAUCAGUCUCUCAUUUGAUCUGAAAUGUUAUAAGAAGAGUUGUUGUCACUCUUUGAAGACUUUUAUGAUGAAAGUAUGAAAGACUAACCUCCUGAGAAAGCGUAUCUAAUUACUUUAUAACUAUACUACAUAACUAAUAGGAGAGAGUCAAUGGAUUUCUUGCUCUUUUUUUACUUCUAUUUGUAUUCUCUAUUUUGUAAUUUGGGCAUUGCCCUUCUUUUUAAAGAAAUUUAAUUUUCGAAAAGAAAAGAAAAAUGUAGUGUCAUGUGAUUUUGGCAAGUUUAAAAUAGAUGGCAAGUUAUUUUUAUUCAAGGGAAUUGGAACAGUUAUAACCUGUAUUCCAAGAUUCUUGUAUGCAGUUCUAUUGUAAGGAUUCUUUCCUUUUCCUGAAUUGUAUCUAGAAUUCUUAUAAUUAUUUCUAUUAAAAUUAGAGUAAUUCACCUGAUAGUCCCUUUCAGUUGAUGAAUUAUCCAAUUGUUUCGUGAGAAUCUCUUCCUUUAUCAGCAGAUCAAUAAGUUGACUAAAUGUGAUGUCUUCGUGAAAGUUGAGGGAGGUCCUGAAGAUCCUGAAUUCUGGUCCAAGACCCUUAAGAAUGUACUCAGAGACUCUUUCAUUAGACAUGAGAUAACCUGCAACAAUCAAGGAAUAUUUUACACUUUUAAAUUUAAAAAUGUACCUCAUUGUAAUAUCAACACUUUUGUUCAAAUAGUUCAUCUCAUUUCGCAAAGAUUGGAUCUAGUUCUCGUCAAUUAGCGAUACAUCAGUUUCCAAUAAAUGCCAUGCCUCAAAGGCAGAGGUGCAAGGUAGAAGCAAUGGUUGGAUUUCCUUGUUCAUAACCGCUUUAAUCCAGCUCAAGACAAU